Molecule: ribosomal RNA, 434 nt
Filed under: uncultured rumen bacterium
Lineage: Bacteria
Description: bacterial SSU rRNA
Rfam family: Bacterial small subunit ribosomal RNA
Source: RNAcentral
UCGCGAAGAACCUUACCUGGUCUUGAGAUCCGGACGAAUACAGAGUAAUGUCUGUAGCCUUCGGGCGGCCGAGACAGGUGGUGCAUGGUUGUCGUCAGCUCGUGUCGUGAGAUGUUGGGUUAAGUCCCGCAACGAGCGCAACCCUUGUCCUUUGUUGCCAGCGGGUAAAGCCGGGAACUCAAAGGAGACUGCCAGUGACAAACUGGAGGAAGGCAGGGAUGACGUCAAGUCAUCAUGGCCCUUACGGUCAGGGCUACACACGUGCUACAAUGGGGCGUACAGAGGGAUGCGAUGCCGCGAGGCGGAGCGAAUCCCAGAGAGCCGGCCCCAGUUCGGAUCGGGGUCUGCAACCCGACCCCGUGAAGUCGGAUUUGCUAGUAACGGCGCAUCAGCUACGGCGCCGUGAAUGCGUUCCCGGGUCUUGUACACACCGA